RNAcentral lists this ribosomal RNA (460 nucleotides) under uncultured Bacteroidota bacterium. RNAcentral describes it as "bacterial SSU rRNA". It matches the Rfam family "Bacterial small subunit ribosomal RNA", at positions 338 to 795 of the family's 1533-position model. The record is from RNAcentral. Lineage: Bacteria; Pseudomonadati; Bacteroidota.
CCUACGGGGGGCUGCAGUGAGGAAUAUUGGUCAAUGGACGAAAGUCUGAACCAGCCAUCCCGCGUGCAGGAUGACGGCCCUAUGGGUUGUAAACUGCUUUUCUACUCCAAGAAACCUGGUUACGAGUAAUCAGUUGCCGGUAGAGUAGGAAUAAGCAUCGGCUAACUCCGUGCCAGCAGCCGCGGUAAUACGGAGGAUGCAAGCGUUAUCCGGAUUCAUUGGGUUUAAAGGGUGCGCAGGUGGGCUUGUAAGUCAGUGGUGAAAUGCUGCCGCUUAACGGUAGAAUUGCCAUUGAUACUGUGAGUCUUGAGUAUGGUUGAGGUAGGCGGAAUGUGCAGUGUAGCGGUGAAAUGCAUAGAUAUUGCACAGAACUCCGAUUGCGAAGGCAGCUUACUAAGCCAUUACUGACGCUGAGGCACGAAAGCGUGGGGAGCGAACAGGCUUAGAUACCCUAGUAGUC